This 945-nucleotide long non-coding RNA is filed under the name Bos indicus x Bos taurus (hybrid cattle). RNAcentral's name for it is "lncRNA (ENSBIXG00000022163.1)". The record is from RNAcentral. Lineage: Eukaryota; Metazoa; Chordata; Mammalia; Artiodactyla; Bovidae.
CGGUGAGAUUGCAACAGCACGGAGGGGCUGGUGGCCUGCUUUGCUGAGAAGACCCCCAAGGGGAAGGUGACUUCUUUUUCUUUCUAAAAAGGGUGAAAUGGCUCAACACACACCAUGGUGGCUGAGUACUGUCCUGCCCUCUCCUGGGCUCAAGUGCAGAGGUGAGAGAGGGAAGCUUACGGCCUGCUCUGUGAGGCCAGGCAUCAGAGCAGGCAGAGGUCAGAACUGUUGCCAAGGGAGGGGUGACUUUCCUAAUCUCAAUGUGAAGAUCGAUUCAGUUCAAUGAGUUAAUAGACUUGCCUAGCACAAAGAAAGCCCAACAGAACCACUGUUCUUAUUAUUGUUUGCACUAAGUAAUUAAACAUCUUCAAGUAGAUGCUAAAUGGCUUUUGCAGAUAGUGCCCACAAAACGUGAUUGAUAUGUUCUACUUACAGGCAGAACUGGGUAUCAUUCCCCACCCCUACUCCAUCCUCCAUUUCCCUUUCUCAUUUCCAGAUCCUCCCGGCAGCUGUCAGCAUCAGCCAGUCCCUAGACUCAAAUCCCAGCAGCUCGAUGACAAGUUCCGUGGACCUGGGCAAUCUUGGGUCUCAUCUGGAAAAUGGGAAAAGAGAGCAUGGCACCAACAGCAUCACCUUUAGGACAAGCCAGCCUGGAAGCUGUGUUCUGAGGCCAAAGCCACUCAGCCCGCGGUUCUGGGAGAACUCUCUCCUCUUCUACCUCAGCCUUGUAUUCCUUGAAACCAGACUUUAAAGGCCUCUUAUGCCUGUAUUUUCCAUUGUGAGUCAUCUCUAACCUAUUUGGAAACAGUCAGGACAGACUGAGUGAAUGAAUGAAUGGAUGGUAGCAGUCCCUACGUACAUGCCAGGCCCUGUUCUAAGCACCUUAUGGUAUCAACUUCUGUAAGCUUCCCAACAACCCUCUGAGAAGACAUUUCUAGCAUUCCC